CGGGAUAUGGCGCAGCUUGGUAGCGCACCUCGUUCGGGACGAGGGGGUCGCAGGUUCAAAUCCUGUUAUCCCGA
This is a transfer RNA of Corynebacterium jeikeium K411, 74 nucleotides long. It matches the Rfam family "tRNA". From Rfam's summary of the family: Transfer RNA (tRNA) molecules are approximately 80 nucleotides in length. Lineage: Bacteria; Bacillati; Actinomycetota; Actinomycetes; Mycobacteriales; Corynebacteriaceae. The record is from Rfam.